This 1357-nucleotide ribosomal RNA is filed under the name Imbira guaiana. Its description in RNAcentral is "SSU rRNA". It matches the Rfam family "Eukaryotic small subunit ribosomal RNA", at positions 153 to 1683 of the family's 1831-position model. Lineage: Eukaryota; Metazoa; Platyhelminthes; Tricladida; Geoplanidae. RNAcentral also lists the same sequence under 1 other name. The record is from RNAcentral.
UAAUUCUAGAGCUAAUAUUUUAAAAAAUGCCGUGACUCACGAAGCGGCGGAUUUAUUAGAUCAAAAUCAACCUGCCGCAAGGCGGUUAAUUGAUGACUCUGGAUAACUUUACUGAUCGUACGACUUUUAAUGUUGACGACAUAUCUCUUGAAAAGGCUGACCUAUCAACUUUCGAUGGUAAGAUCAAAGCUUACCAUGGUUGUAACGGGUAACGGGGAAUCAGUGUUCGAUUCCGGAGAGGGAGCCUGAGAAACGGCUACCACAUCUACGGAAGGCAGCAGGCGCGCAAAUUACCCAAUACCGGCUCGGUGAGGUAGUGACAAAAAAUAACAAUGUGAGCCCUAGUGGUUUCAUAAUUGCAAUGAGAACAUUUUAAAUACUUUAUCAAGUAUCAAUUGGAGAAUAUGUUCGAUGCUCUUUAAUGGGUGUUGAUUAUGUUAGGACAAGUUUACUUUGAAAAAAUUAGAGUGCUUAAAGCAGGCUUAUGCUUGUAUAUUGUUGCAUGGAAUAAUGAAAUAAGACUUCGGUUUUAUUUUGUUGGUUUUCGAAACUGAAGUAAUGAUUAAAAGAGACUGCCGGGGGCAUAUGUAUGCUGGUGUGAGAGGUGAAAUUCUAAGAUCGCCAGCAGACAAACUACUGCGAAAGCAUUUGCCAAGAAUGUUUUCAUUAAUCAAGAACGAAAGUCAGAGGAUCGAAGACGAUCAGAUACCGUCCUAGUUCUGACCAUAAACUAUGCCAACUGACAGUUCGCUAAGGAGAUAUUAAUAUCCCUGCGAGAAGUCACCGGGAAACCUAAGUCUAUGGGUUCCGGGGGAAGUAUGGUUGCAAAGCUGAAACUUAAAGGAAUUGACGGAAGGGCACCACCAGGAGUGGAGCCUGCGGCUUAAUUUGACUCAACACGGGAAAUCUCACCCGGUCCGGACACUGUGAGGAUUGACAGAUUGAUAGCUCUUUCUUGAUUCGGUGGGUGGUGGUGCAUGGCCGUUCUUAGUUGGUGGAGCGAUUUGUCUGGUUAAUUCCGAUAACGAACGAGACUCUAACUUGCUAACUAGUACACUUGUGUUUAAAUGCGAGUGCUGACUUCUUAGAAGAAUUUAUAGCGUUUAGCUAAUUGAAAUUGAGCAAUAACAGGUCUGUGAUGCCCUUAGAUGUCCGGGGCCGCACGCGCGCUACAAUGGCAGUAACAGCGAGUAUAUUUAUCCUAGCUAGAAAUGGCCGGGUAAACUUGUGAAACACUGUCGUGUCAGGAAUAGUGGUUUGAAAUUUUUCCACUUGAACGAGGAAUUCCUAGUAAGCGCAAGUCAUUAACUUGCGCUGAUUACGUCCCUGCCCUUUGUACACACCGCCCGUCGCUACU